RNAcentral lists this ribosomal RNA (233 nucleotides) under uncultured bacterium. Its description in RNAcentral is "partial 16S ribosomal RNA". It matches the Rfam family "Bacterial small subunit ribosomal RNA", at positions 118 to 347 of the family's 1533-position model. The record is from RNAcentral.
UGAGCAAUCUGCCCUUCUCAUCGGAAUAAGCGUUGGAAACGACGUCUAAUGCCGAAUACGACCUCCUUUCGCAUGAUCGGAGGUGGAAAGCUCCGGCGGAGAAGGAUGAGCUCGCGGCCUAUCAGCUAGUUGGUGUGGGUAAUGGCCCACCAAGGCGACGACGGGUAGCCGGCCUGAGAGGGUGACCGGCCACACUGGGACUGAGAUACGGCCCAGACCUCCUACGGGAGCAG